This 203-nucleotide ribosomal RNA is filed under the name uncultured Streptococcaceae bacterium. RNAcentral describes it as "partial 16S ribosomal RNA". It matches the Rfam family "Bacterial small subunit ribosomal RNA", at positions 136 to 334 of the family's 1533-position model. Lineage: Bacteria; Bacillati; Bacillota; Bacilli; Lactobacillales; Streptococcaceae. The record is from RNAcentral.
GCGGGGGAUAACUAUUGGAAACGAUAGCUAAUACCGCAUAAGAGAGACUAACGCAUGUUAGUAAUUUAAAAGGGGCAAUUGCUCCACUAUGAGAUGGACCUGCGUUGUAUUAGCUAGUUGGUGAGGUAAAGGCUCACCAAGGCGACGAUACAUAGCCGACCUGAGAGGGUGAUCGGCCACACUGGGACUGAGACACGGCCCAG